RNAcentral lists this transfer RNA (61 nucleotides) under Haementeria officinalis (Mexican leech). RNAcentral's name for it is "transfer RNA Aspartic Acid". The record is from RNAcentral. Lineage: Eukaryota; Metazoa; Annelida; Clitellata; Rhynchobdellida; Glossiphoniidae.
AAGACUUUAGUUAAGUAGUAAUGACAGCUUGUCAGUCUGUAGUCGCCUAGGGCAAGUCUUA